GCCUGGGUGGCUCAGUCGGUUAAGCGUCCGACUUCCGCUCAGGUCACGAUCUCGCGGUCCGCGAGUUCGAGCCCCGCCUCGGGCU
This 85-nucleotide transfer RNA is filed under the name Felis catus (domestic cat). It matches the Rfam family "tRNA". From Rfam's summary of the family: Transfer RNA (tRNA) molecules are approximately 80 nucleotides in length. Their secondary structure includes four short double-helical elements and three loops (D, anti-codon, and T loops). Further hydrogen bonds mediate the characteristic L-shaped molecular structure. tRNAs have two regions of fundamental functional importance: the anti-codon, which is responsible for specific mRNA codon recognition, and the 3' end, to which the tRNAs corresponding amino acid is attached (by aminoacyl-tRNA synthetases). tRNAs cope with the degeneracy of the genetic code in two manners: having more than one tRNA (with a specific anti-codon) for a particular amino acid; and 'wobble' base-pairing, i.e. permitting non-standard base-pairing at the 3rd anti-codon position. The record is from Rfam by way of RNAcentral. Lineage: Eukaryota; Metazoa; Chordata; Mammalia; Carnivora; Felidae.